Molecule: ribosomal RNA, 253 nt
Filed under: uncultured bacterium
Lineage: Bacteria
Description: partial 16S ribosomal RNA
Rfam family: Bacterial small subunit ribosomal RNA
Source: RNAcentral
GACGGAGGGGGCUAGCGUUGUUCGGAAUCACUGGGCGUAAAGGGCGCGUAGGCGGCCUUGCAAGUCAGGCGUGAAAUCCCUCGGCUCAACCAAGGAAGUGCAUCCGAAACUGCUGAGCUUGAGUACUUAAGAGGAUCGCGGAAUUCCCGGUGUAGAGGUGAAAUUCGUAGAUAUCGGGAGGAACACCAGUGGCGAAGGCGGCGAUCUGGGAAGAUACUGACGCUGAGGUGCGAAAGCGUGGGGAGCAAACAGG